GAAGAAGUGUUGAUGGACUUAUCAGAUGCAAUUAUGGCAUGUGGGUACAGAGGGCCAAUAAACAUUGGAACAAAAGAGGCUAUCACUCAGGCUAUCACCUUGCAUGCAAAGGUGAGGCUGAUCCCGAUUCUGAACCAGCUACAUGAAGGACUGAAGCUCUAUGGAUUAGAUGAUUUUUUGAAGCAUCACCGACAGAUGUGCCAGCAGCUCUUUGUUCCUGGCCACUUAAAUGAGGUGGAUUCAAACUUCCUUUUGCGUGCAUUGUGUCCUGAUUUCAGCGAGAAAGGGUCUGUCAGACGGCAAAGAGAAAUGAAAGACUUCCUUGAUUUGUAACCCUGACCAUUCUUUGACAUUACUCUCAUCUCUUAGAAGAAGCAAACAGCA
Long non-coding RNA from Melanotaenia boesemani (Boeseman's rainbowfish), 384 nucleotides. RefSeq lists it as uncharacterized. The transcript is spliced from 4 exons. Lineage: Eukaryota; Metazoa; Chordata; Actinopteri; Atheriniformes; Melanotaeniidae. The record is from RefSeq and is a predicted model, not a curated record.